This 386-nucleotide ribosomal RNA is filed under the name uncultured bacterium. RNAcentral describes it as "bacterial SSU rRNA". It matches the Rfam family "Bacterial small subunit ribosomal RNA", at positions 46 to 478 of the family's 1533-position model. The record is from RNAcentral.
GCCUAACACAUGCAAGUCGAGCGAACCCUUCGGGGUUAGCGGCGGACGGGUUAGUAACGCGUGGGAAUAUACCCUUUGGUACGGAAUAGCCUCGGGAAACUGAGAGUAAUACCGUAUGUGCCCUUCGGGGGAAAGAUUUAUCGCCAAAGGAUUAGCCCGCGUUGGAUUAGGUAGUUGGUGGGGUAAUGGCCUACCAAGCCUACGAUCCAUAGCUGGUUUGAGAGGAUGAUCAGCAACACUGGGACUGAGACACGGCCCAGACUCCUACGGGAGGCAGCAGUGGGGAAUCUUAGACAAUGGGGGAAACCCUGAUCUAGCCAUGCCGCGUGGACGAUGAAGGCCUUAGGGUUGUAAAGUCCUUUCAGAUGGGAAGAUAAUGACGGUAC